Molecule: small RNA, 2991 nt
Filed under: Pan troglodytes (chimpanzee)
Lineage: Eukaryota; Metazoa; Chordata; Mammalia; Primates; Hominidae
Description: processed transcript
Source: RNAcentral
ACCGGGAUCCAUGCAGCCAGCAAUGAUGAUGUUUUCCAGUAAAUACUGGGCACGGAGAGGGUUUUCCCUGGAUUCAGCAGUGCCCGAAGAGCAUCAGCUACUUGGCAGCUCAACACUAAAUAAACCUAACUCUGGCAAAAAUGACGACAAAGGCAACAAGGGAAGCAGCAAAAGUGAAACUGCUACCGAAAGUGGCAAGACAGCAGUUGUUUUCUCCUUGAAAAAUGAAGUUGGCGGACUGGUAAAAGCACUGAGGCUCUUUCAGGAAAAACGUGUCAACAUGGUUCAUAUUGAAUCCAGGAAAUCUCGGCGAAGAAGUUCUGAGGUUGAAAUCUUUGUGGACUGUGAGUGUGGGAAAACAGAAUUCAAUGAGCUCAUUCAGUUGCUGAAAUUUCAAACCACUAUUGUGACGCUGAAUCCUCCAGAGAAUAUUUGGACAGAGGAAGAAGAGCUAGAGGAUGUGCCCUGGUUCCCUCGGAAGAUCUCUGAGUUAGACAAAUGCUCUCACAGAGUUCUCAUGUAUGGUUCUGAGCUUGAUGCCGACCACCCAGGAUUUAAGGACAAUGUCUAUCGACAGAGAAGAAAGUAUUUUGUGGAUGUGGCCAUGGGUUAUAAAUAUGGCCCAAGACUGUUAGCUGCUAUUGGCGACUGGGAAUUUUAGCUCUUUUCUGUAUCAAGUUCUUUGAGCUCAAGCUCCUUGUGCAUGUUGAGCGUGCACAUAUUGAUGGAUGUUAGAUCCAUUGUUGUUGCUGUUGAUAUUUAAUUUCAUGAUAGUUUUUGCAGAUGAAAAUCACUUCUCUAGAAUAUGAAGAGGACUUUCUGCAAGGUGAGAAAAUAGUGGGAAGCCCUAUCCUGUGGUGCACAGGACAAAUAAAAACAAAUAAUUUCUAGGAGUUAAAUCUUUGUUCUCCCUGAGGCUCCUUAGGUGCAGUAGUUUAUUUUCAUUAUGUCUCUUGUAAAGGCAGCACCAAUAUUAACAACGUGAACAAAACAAACUAACGUUUGUGUUUGCUCCCAUCUGAAAGUUCCUUAAGGCCCGUAGACUCAUUUACGAAAAUUCAUGUGCGCAAAACUCAUUUGCAAAAGCAAAUAAAAUAUGUGAUUGCAAAUGCUCUUUACCUGACUGGCCUAGGGGACUAGCUGAAAAUGCAUUUAUGCCUUUGUGUUUACUCUAUGGCGUGGCUUAGCAGUCAUGGGGCUCCUAACCUCCUCUACAGAUGAGUCCCCGUCAAGCCACGUAUGUCAGAUGACUUGAAUGUUUUGAAAUUCAGGCAUCAUUUAGAUGGUUGUUAAGUUGCUGUACUAAUGUGUGAGUUUUUGUUUGUAAAAAAAUUUAUUAAAUCAUUGUGCUCUGUAGCCUUGGAAAUGUUUUUGAAGUUCAUUCAUUACAAUGUCCAGCCAAGGAAACAUCUCUGUAUUUAGUUAAGUUCGGACUUUUCUGUCCCUUUGGGUUUACAUAUGCUGCUUUCUUUCCUGGUGAAAAUUUUGGUUACAAGUGUGACUGAGUGACGAUGUCUAGACAAGGAUCAGGAAAACUGAAUUGAGAAAAUUAGAAAAAAGAAACCCUUAUAUGUAAAUUGUACAUAGGAAUAAUUGGAAGCUACCAGAAAGUUUGUUAAAAUCCUGAAUCUUUGCUUUUUGCAUAGUAAUUGAAAUAUAUGAGACAAGACAAAUACAUACCUGCCAGACUCUCUGAUGCAUAACUAUUUUUUCCCUAACAUUUAAAUGUGUGUUUUGCUUUAGGCUGAUUGAUUGAUUUACUCACUUAACAAAUAUUAUUUUUUUGUUUUGUUUUGUUUUGUUUUGAGAUAGAGUAUCUGUCAUCCAAGCUGAGGUGCAGUGGCACGAUCUCAGCUCACUACAACCUCCGCCUCCUGGGUUCAAGCGAUUCUCCUGCCUCAGUCUCUCUAGUAGCUGGAAUUAUAGGCACACGCCACCAUGCCCGGUUAAUUUUAGUAUUUUUAGUAUUUUUGUAUUUUUAGUUGAUGCAGAAUAUAUAUAUAUAUUCUGGCAAUAUUUUUCCAGUCUCAGAGGCAUAAGCGAUCUUCUUGAAUACUCAUUGAGUAUUUGGCUGUACUUUGUAGACACCUGGAUGCAGGUGAUACUAUUUCAUGAAGGUGGUACCAACUAAUAUAGUACUAGGUAACACUAUGGUCACUGGCUAAAAAUGAGAGUCAUCAAUUACUGAUUGAAAUUUCUACACACCUGGUGUGACACCUCAGUUGUGAGACGUGCAACAAAUGCUUGAUAAGAGUUAAUUAUAAAUUUUGUGAUGAUGAAUUUUUUUUUUUAACUUUUACUUUAGGUUUAGGGGUACAUGUGAAGGUUUGUUACGUAGGUAAACACAUGUCAUGGGGUUUUGUUGCACAUAUUAUUUCAUCACCCAGGUGUUAAGCCUAGUACCCAAUAGUUUACUUUUCUGCUCCUCGCCCUCCUCUCACCCUCCACCCUCCAGGAGACCCCAGUGUCUGUGGUUUCCUUCUUUGUGUUCAUAAGUUCUUAUCAUUUAGCUCCCACUUACAAGUGAGAACAUGCAGUAUUUAGUUUUCUGUUCCUUCAUUAGUUUGCUAAGGAUAAUAGCCUCCAGCUCCAUCCAUGUUGCUGCAAAAGACAUUAUCUCAUUUUUUAUGGCUGCAUAGUAUUCCAUCGUGUAUAUGUACCACAUUUUUCUCAUGCAAUCUGUCACUGAUGGACAUGUAAGUUGAUUCUGUGUCUUUGCUAUUGUAAAUAGUGCUGCAGUGAACUUCUGCAUGCAUGUGUCUUGAUGGUAGAAUGAUUUAUAUUCCUCUGGGUAUAUACUCAGUAACGGGAUUGCUAGGUUGAAUGGUAAUUCUGCUUUUAGCUCUUUCAGGAAUGGCCAUACUGCUUUCCACAAUGGUUGAACUAAUUUACACUCCCACCAACAGUGUAUAAGUGUUUCCUUUUCUCUGCAACCUUGCCAGCAUCUGUUAUUUUUUUGACUUUUAAAUAAUAAACAUUCUGACUGGUGUG